Molecule: microRNA precursor, 173 nt
Filed under: Pelobates cultripes (western spadefoot toad)
Lineage: Eukaryota; Metazoa; Chordata; Amphibia; Anura; Pelobatidae
Source: RNAcentral
CAGCAGACACAUUCCAGCCAAUCAGCAGCAGACCCUCCCUCCCAGACCCUCCCACCUCCUGGACAGCAUCCAUUUUACAUUCAUUGUGAAGCUGCAUUCUUAGUGAGCUGUCCAGGAGGUAGGAGGGUCUGGGAGGGAGGGUCUGCUGCUGAUUGGCUGGAAUGCGUCUGCUG